This 455-nucleotide ribosomal RNA is filed under the name Klebsiella pneumoniae. RNAcentral's name for it is "bacterial SSU rRNA". It matches the Rfam family "Bacterial small subunit ribosomal RNA", at positions 1 to 454 of the family's 1533-position model. Lineage: Bacteria; Pseudomonadati; Pseudomonadota; Gammaproteobacteria; Enterobacterales; Enterobacteriaceae. The record is from RNAcentral.
AAAUUGAAGAGUUUGAUCAUGGCUCAGAUUGAACGCUGGCGGCAGGCCUAACACAUGCAAGUCGAGCGGUAGCACAGAGAGCUUGCUCUCGGGUGACGAGCGGCGGACGGGUGAGUAAUGUCUGGGAAGCUGCCUGAUGGAGGGGGAUAACUACUGGAAACGGUAGCUAAUACCGCAUAACGUCGCAAGACCAAAGUGGGGGACCUUCGGGCCUCAUGCCAUCAGAUGUGCCCAGAUGGGAUUAGCUAGUAGGUGGGGUAACGGCUCACCUAGGCGACGAUCCCUAGCUGGUCUGAGAGGAUGACCAGCCACACUGGAACUGAGACACGGUCCAGACUCCUACGGGAGGCAGCAGUGGGGAAUAUUGCACAAUGGGCGCAAGCCUGAUGCAGCCAUGCCGCGUGUGUGAAGAAGGCCUUCGGGUUGUAAAGCACUUUCAGCGGGGAGGAAGGCGA